Molecule: long non-coding RNA, 298 nt
Organism: Nycticebus coucang (slow loris)
Lineage: Eukaryota; Metazoa; Chordata; Mammalia; Primates; Lorisidae
Exons: 3
Source: RefSeq, a predicted model, not a curated record
CUUGGCCUACUGGAGUUUGCCAUCUGGCGGGCUGACACUGUGUAGGAGAGGGGAAACAGUGUACUUAAGGAGCACACGCCGGCCUCUGAGCCAGAACAGGUGAAGAGGAUGUGAUGACUAACCUAGGACCUGAAAUGCAAGAAAAUAAGGACAUUGGUUCACCAAGGGGCUGAGUAACAUAGCAAGGAUCCACUGGCCACUCCAGGGCAAAGCAAGGGAAGACACAGUCUCUGUCUACUGGUUCUUCAAAACCCGGUUCAAGCCCUGCCUCCUCACCAAGUUCACCAGGAGCUCCGGC